RNAcentral lists this ribosomal RNA (465 nucleotides) under uncultured bacterium. RNAcentral's name for it is "bacterial SSU rRNA". It matches the Rfam family "Bacterial small subunit ribosomal RNA", at positions 338 to 795 of the family's 1533-position model. The record is from RNAcentral.
CCUACGGGGGGCAGCAGUAGGGAAUCUUCCGCAAUGGGCGAAAGCCUGACGGAGCAACGCCGCGUGAGUGAUGAAGGUCUUCGGAUCGUAAAACUCUGUUAUCAGGGAAGAACAAAUGUGUAAGUAACUGUGCACAUCUUGACGGUACCUGAUCAGAAAGCCACGGCUAACUACGUGCCAGCAGCCGCGGUAAUACGUAGGUGGCAAGCGUUAUCCGGAAUUAUUGGGCGUAAAGCGCGCGUAGGCGGUUUUUUAAGUCUGAUGUGAAAGCCCACGGCUCAACCGUGGAGGGUCAUUGGAAACUGGAAAACUUGAGUGCAGAAGAGGAAAGUGGAAUUCCAUGUGUAGCGGUGAAAUGCGCAGAGAUAUGGAGGAACACCAGUGGCGAAGGCGACUUUCUGGUCUGUAACUGACGCUGAUGUGCGAAAGCGUGGGGAUCAAACAGGAUUAGAUACCCCGGUAGUC